CGAAGUUAACGCAAUAAGCACUCCGCCUGGGGAGUACGGCCGCAAGGCUGAAACUCAAAGGAAUUGACGGGGGCCCGCACAAGCGGUGGAGCAUGUGGUUUAAUUCGAAGCAACGCGAAGAACCUUACCAGGUCUUGACAUCCUGUGGCACCUCUUGGGAUUGGGAGUUUUCUUCGGGACCAGAGUGACAGGUGGUGCAUGGUUGUCGUCAGCUCGUGUCGUGAGAUGUUGGGUUAAGUCCCGCAACGAGCGCAACCCUUGAUCUUAGUUGCCAUCAUUAAGUUGGGCACUCUAAGGAGACUGCCGGUGACAAGCCGGAGGAAGGUGGGGAUGACGUCAAAUCAUCAUGCCCCUUAUGUCCUGGGCUACACACGUGCUACAAUGGAUGAACAAAGAGCAGCAAGCUCGCGAGGUGGAGCCAAUCUCAUAAAACCGUUCUCAGUUCGGAUUGUAGGCUGCAACUCGCCUACAUGAAGCUGGAAUCGCUAGUAAUCGCGGAUCAGC
Molecule: ribosomal RNA, 504 nt
Filed under: Bacillus sp. IND13
Lineage: Bacteria; Bacillati; Bacillota; Bacilli; Caryophanales; Bacillaceae
Description: bacterial SSU rRNA
Rfam family: Bacterial small subunit ribosomal RNA
Source: RNAcentral